RNAcentral lists this ribosomal RNA (425 nucleotides) under uncultured bacterium. Its description in RNAcentral is "bacterial SSU rRNA". It matches the Rfam family "Bacterial small subunit ribosomal RNA", at positions 354 to 796 of the family's 1533-position model. The record is from RNAcentral.
GUGGGGAAUCUUGCACAAUGGGGGAAACCCUGAUGCAGCGACGCCGCGUGAGCGAUGAAGCCCUUCGGGGUGUAAAGCUCUUUCGGCAGGGAAGAUUAUGACGGUACCUGCAGAAGCAGCUGCGGCUAACUACGUGCCAGCAGCCGCGGUAAUACGUAGGCAGCAAGCGUUGUUCGGAGUUACUGGGCGUAAAGGGUGCGUAGGCGGUCCUAUAAGUAUGGUGUGAAAUCUCCCGGCUUAACUGGGAGGGUGCGCUAUAGACUGUGGGACUAGAGUGUGGGAGAGGAAAGUGGAAUUCCUGGUGUAGCGGUGAAAUGCGUAGAUAUCAGGAGGAACACCGGUGGUGUAAACGGCUUUCUGGACCAUAACUGACGCUGAGGCACGAAAGCGUGGGUAGCAAACAGGAUUAGAUACCCUUGUAGUCC